Molecule: transfer RNA, 63 nt
Filed under: Semanotus bifasciatus
Lineage: Eukaryota; Metazoa; Arthropoda; Insecta; Coleoptera; Cerambycidae
Description: tRNA-His
Source: RNAcentral
AUUCAAAUAGUUUAAUAAAAAUAUUAGUUUGUGGGACUAAAGAUAUACUAGGUAUUUUGGAUA